This is a non-coding RNA of Cerioporus squamosus, 97 nucleotides long. Lineage: Eukaryota; Fungi; Basidiomycota; Agaricomycetes; Polyporales; Polyporaceae. The record is from the annotation of a GenBank genome assembly.
GGGCAUGUGGUGUAGUUGGUUAUCACGCUCGCUUAGCACCACGGUCUUAUGGCGUACUGUUUGCGAGAGGGGUCCGGUUCAAUCCCGGACAUGUCCA